UACGUAGGGGGCAAGCGUUGUCCGGAAUUAUUGGGCGUAAAGAGCGCGUAGGCGGUCCGAUAAGUCGGCUGUGAAAGUCCAGGGCUCAACCCUGGAAAGCCGGCCGAUACUGUCGGACUAGAGUCCGGAAGAGGCAAGUGGAAUUCCCGGUGUAGCGGUGAAAUGCGCAGAUAUCAGGAAGAACACCCGUGGCUAAGGCGGCUCUCUAGUACGGUACUGACGCUGAGACGCGAAAGCGUGGGGAGCGAACAGG
Molecule: ribosomal RNA, 253 nt
Filed under: uncultured bacterium
Lineage: Bacteria
Description: partial 16S ribosomal RNA
Rfam family: Bacterial small subunit ribosomal RNA
Source: RNAcentral